AUUAUAAAGCAAUUUGAUAUAUAUGAUAUUAAUAAAAGCUAUAUUUAUAUAAAAAGUAAAAUAAUAUAAUUUUACAUGAAAUGGUUUAUAUUUCUUAAUAUUUCGAAAGAAUAAACAAAAAAGAAACAAAACAGUCUUAAUGAACUAAUCAAAACCUUAUCAUUGGGUCUGCUACAACAUCAUGGGGUCUGUUGCAAUCAAAGCAAUAUGUUUUACAUGUUUACAUGUAUAAUUUUAAACUUUUUAUUUGUCGGCUUUCUAACUAUUUGAUGCGUGCGUUACUGAUGAGUUAAAUGUAGACGAAAGGCGUGUCUGGCGUAUUAAAUUUUCAGCCUGGUACCUAUGCUAACUAUUUACACAUCAAAUCUACAAAAAGAAGAAAUACCAGGAUCCUUUCCCUCUGUUUAUAUCAUACCCCACGGAACUGUGUUUCGUUAUCAUAGUCCGUCAGCUCUUUUUUUUUCACGAAAACUCCAUUGAAAACUCACAACAGAUUUUAAUGCAGCCUUGUAGUUACAUGAAACUUUUUUCGAUGUAUAUAUCUGUUCAUUUAUUUUCAUUUAUAGAUUAUGCCUAUAUACUAGUAAUGUUAGACCUGGACAUACUACUGCAACUGUUUGUCAUCGCAACUCAUCUGAAACAAUAUUCAAUAGUUUUAUGAGUCUGUGCAGAUAAUAAGAACGUGCAUGAAGACGUUUGUAAAAAAUUAUUAUUUCGAAAUAACUGAUUGAUCAUUUGACUCUGCUAGGAGGAUGAGUCAUUGAAAUUAUUAAUCUGGUGCGAUGUUGAUUGCCAGGGGAGGAAAAUUGGACGUUAGGUACGCCUUCGGAUUUGUGACCUUGAUUUGUUUGACUCAACAUUUUAUGAUUCUUCAUUUGAACAUUAGCAUAUUGAUGUCACCAGCGUGAGACAAGCCCCUAUCUUUCGUUUAGAACUUUCCCCAGUAUAAAAAAUAUUCCAGAAAAAAAUAAAGUUAUAUACAUAUGAACCUCAAAACAACGAUACAUGGAUUGUUUGCUGCCUGGUAAAACACUAAUUUUCGUAACAAAUUUAGAGCAGAUAUAUAAGAAGAUAAAA
This 1077-nucleotide long non-coding RNA is filed under the name Mytilus galloprovincialis (Mediterranean mussel). The record is from RNAcentral. Lineage: Eukaryota; Metazoa; Mollusca; Bivalvia; Mytilida; Mytilidae.